AUUGAACGCUGGCGGCAUGCCUUACACAUGCAAGUCGAACGGUAACAGGUCUUCGGAUGCUGACGAGUGGCGAACGGGUGAGUAAUACAUCGGAACGUGCCCGAUCGUGGGGGAUAACGGAGCGAAAGCUUUGCUAAUACCGCAUACGAUCUACGGAUGAAAGCAGGGGACCGCAAGGCCUUGCGCGGACGGAGCGGCCGAUGGCAGAUUAGGUAGUUGGUGGGAUAAAAGCUUACCAAGCCGACGAUCUGGAGCUGGUCUGAGAGGACGACCAGCCACACUGGGACUGAGACACGGCCCCGCCUCCUACGGGAGGCCGCGGUGGGGAAUUUUGGACAAUGGGCGAAGGCCUGAUCCAGCCAUCCCGCCUGCAGGAUGAAGGCCUUCGGGUUGUAAACUGCUUUUGUACGGAACGAAAAGACUCUUUCUAAUAAAGAGCGUCCAUGACGGUAGCGUAAGAAUAAGCACCGGCUAACUACGUG
This 482-nucleotide ribosomal RNA is filed under the name uncultured bacterium. RNAcentral's name for it is "partial 16S ribosomal RNA". It matches the Rfam family "Bacterial small subunit ribosomal RNA", at positions 30 to 507 of the family's 1533-position model. The record is from RNAcentral.